Molecule: ribosomal RNA, 465 nt
Filed under: Vreelandella stevensii
Lineage: Bacteria; Pseudomonadati; Pseudomonadota; Gammaproteobacteria; Oceanospirillales; Halomonadaceae
Description: partial 16S ribosomal RNA
Rfam family: Bacterial small subunit ribosomal RNA
Source: RNAcentral
CCUACGGGUGGCAGCAGUGGGGAAUAUUGGACAAUGGGCGAAAGCCUGAUCCAGCCAUGCCGCGUGUGUGAAGAAGGCCUUCGGGUUGUAAAGCACUUUCAGUGGGGAAGAAAGCCUUGGGGCUAAUACCCUCGAGGAAGGACAUCACCCACAGAAGAAGCACCGGCUAACUCCGGGCCAGCAGCCGCGGUAAUACGGAGGGUGCGAGCGUUAAUCGGAAUUACUGGGCGUAAAGCGCGCGUAGGCGGUCUGAUAAGCCGGUUGUGAAAGCCCCGGGCUCAACCUGGGAACGGCAUCCGGAACUGUCAGGCUAGAGUGCAGGAGAGGAAGGUAGAAUUCCCGGUGUAGCGGUGAAAUGCGUAGAGAUCGGGAGGAAUACCAGUGGCGAAGGCGGCCUUCUGGACUGACACUGACGCUGAGGUGCGAAAGCGUGGGUAGCAAACAGGAUUAGAUACCCUGGUAGUC